GCUGUGUCCAUGUGCUCAGCUCAUAGCCACCAUGCAUGACUUGGGACUUCUGAAUGGGACCAAGAAAUAUCUAACAUGCGAUUUCCUGGAAAGCACAUAGGAGUUUGGCCCAGAUCCAGACUUGGCAGGUAACUUGCUGUGUGACUGUGGACAAAUGACUGAACCUUUCUGGGCAUCAAUUCCCUCAAACAUAGAGGGAAGGUGGGCAGGGAUGGGACACCCACCCCUGAAGCCUCAAUCAUGAGAAGCAUCCCAGAAUGAGACGUAUUCAGUUGCUCAAUCAAGAAGAAGCUGCCAGGCACAGUGGCUUGUGCCUGUAACCCCAGAACUUUGAGAGGCUGAGCGGGGUGGAUCACCCAAAGUCAGGAGUUCAAGACCAGCCUGGCCAACAUGGUGAAAUGCCGUCUCUACUAAAAAUACAAAAAUUCGCUGGGUGUGGUGGUGGGUGCUUGUAAUCCUAGCUACUCAGGAGGCUGAGACAGGAGAAUCCCUUGAACCCAGAGGCAGAGGUUACAGUGAGCCGAGAUCGUGCCACUGCCCUCCAGCCUGGGCAACAAAGAGUGAAACUCUUGUCUAAAAAAAAAAAGAAGAAGAAGAAGGAGAAGGAGAAGGAGCGGGAGAAGGAGAAGAAGAAGAAGAAGAAGAAGCCUCAGUGAAGUGCUCCAGCAUCUUCACCCCCUUGGUCACUUGCUCAUCUCCUUGAUGAACAAAAGCGGCCCCAGAUCAGAGCCAUCGAGCACCUGCAGCCAGCAAGGUUGGCUGGUUUUCAUUGUGUGCAUUUUUAAGGCGUCUUCUAUUUAUAGAAAGGAUUGUGGUCUUGCAUUUGUAGCAGCGAUGAAAGCUUUACUUUUUGGCAAAAUGUGUGCAAGUUGUUUAGAAGUGAGUCUGUUUGAAAAAAAAAAUUAAAUGAA
Molecule: long non-coding RNA, 911 nt
Filed under: Homo sapiens (human)
Lineage: Eukaryota; Metazoa; Chordata; Mammalia; Primates; Hominidae
Description: HSALNT0310495
Source: RNAcentral